RNAcentral lists this transfer RNA (72 nucleotides) under Dicamptodon aterrimus (Idaho giant salamander). RNAcentral describes it as "tRNA-Pro". It matches the Rfam family "tRNA". From Rfam's summary of the family: Transfer RNA (tRNA) molecules are approximately 80 nucleotides in length. Their secondary structure includes four short double-helical elements and three loops (D, anti-codon, and T loops). Lineage: Eukaryota; Metazoa; Chordata; Amphibia; Caudata; Dicamptodontidae. The record is from RNAcentral.
CAACAGGUAAUUUGAAGCUCAAAAUUUUGGCUUUGGGUGCCAGCAAUGGGGGUGAAAAUCCCCCCCUUUUGA